UACGUAGGGUGCGAGCGUUGCCCGGAUUUAUUGGGCGUAAAGGGCGCGUAGGCGGCCACGCACGUCCGUUGUGAAAUCGCUCGGCUCAACUGGGCGGGGUCAGCGGAUACGGCGUGGCUAGAGCAAGCUAGGGGGCAAUGGAAUUCCCGGUGUAGUGGUGGAAUGCGUAGAUAUCGGGAGGAACAUCUGUGGCGAAGGCGGCCACCUGGACCAACACUGACACUGAGGCACGAAAGCGUGGGGAGCAAACAGG
This 253-nucleotide ribosomal RNA is filed under the name uncultured bacterium. Its description in RNAcentral is "partial 16S ribosomal RNA". It matches the Rfam family "Bacterial small subunit ribosomal RNA", at positions 524 to 776 of the family's 1533-position model. The record is from RNAcentral.